GAUGAAGAACGUAGCGAAAUGCGAUAAGUAAUGCGAAUUGCAGAAUUUCCGUGAGUCAUCGAAUCUUUGAACGCACAUUGCGCCCGCCAGUAUUCUGGCGGGCAUGCCUGUUCGAGCGUCAUUUCAACCAUCAAGCCCUGCUUGCGUUGGGGUCCUGCGGCUGCCCGCAGGCCCUGAAAACCAGUGGCGGGCUCGCUAGUCACACCGAGCGCAGUAAUACAUCUCGCUUUGGGCGUGCGGCGGGUUCUUGCCGUUAAACCCCCCCUUUUUACCAAGGUUGACCUCGGAUCAGGUAGGAAUACCCGCUGAACUUAAGCAUAUCAAUAAGCGGAGGA
Molecule: unclassified non-coding RNA, 335 nt
Filed under: soil metagenome
Description: partial contains 5.8S ribosomal RNA, internal transcribed spacer 2, and large subunit ribosomal RNA
Rfam family: 5.8S ribosomal RNA (bases 1-121)
Source: RNAcentral